RNAcentral lists this long non-coding RNA (354 nucleotides) under Brassica napus (rape). RNAcentral's name for it is "long non-coding RNA (BNAP_LNC023037)". Lineage: Eukaryota; Viridiplantae; Streptophyta; Magnoliopsida; Brassicales; Brassicaceae. The record is from RNAcentral.
UUCUUUGUUUUUUUCUUCUCAUCCUCUCUAUUUUCUCUUAUUUUCUCCGACCAUUGUAUCUUCUCCGGUGAAGGUUUUACUCUUUGAUUAGUGACAAAUUUAAACACAAACAAAUGAAUUCUCUCACAAAAAACCAUUUGGAUUUGGAGUGUGUAAAUGUGACGUCGAAAAUGUAGACAACAAUGACGUUGACGACAAUAGAGACGCUGUCGUAGACGUAUACGACAGCGACGAUGGAGACAUCGACCACAUCAAUCUAGACGACGAGCAACCCUCUAAUGAACCAAAGAAGACAACUUUUUUUUUUGUUUUUUCUCCUUCUGUUGACGAAAUAUAAUGGAUUAUCUCAAACAC